UGGGGAAUUUUGGACAAUGGGCGCAAGCCUGAUCCAGCCAUGCCGCGUGUCUGAAGAAGGCCUUCGGGUUGUAAAGGACUUUUGUCAGGGAAGAAAAGGGCGGGGUUAAUACCCCUGUCUGAUGACGGUACCUGAAGAAUAAGCACCGGCUAACUACGUGCCAGCAGCCGCGGUAAUACGUAGGGUGCGAGCGUUAAUCGGAAUUACUGGGCGUAAAGCGGGCGCAGACGGUUACUUAAGCAGGAUGUGAAAUCCCCGGGCUCAACCUGGGAACUGCGUUCUGAACUGGGUGACUAGAGUGUGUCAGAGGGAGGUAGAAUUCCACGUGUAGCAGUGAAAUGCGUAGAGAUGUGGAGGAAUACCGAUGGAGAAGGCAGCUUCCAGGGAUAACACUGACGUUCAUGCCC
This 407-nucleotide ribosomal RNA is filed under the name uncultured bacterium. RNAcentral's name for it is "partial 16S ribosomal RNA". It matches the Rfam family "Bacterial small subunit ribosomal RNA", at positions 355 to 754 of the family's 1533-position model. The record is from RNAcentral.